Molecule: ribosomal RNA, 527 nt
Filed under: fungal sp. EN19
Lineage: Eukaryota; Fungi
Description: eukaryotic LSU rRNA
Rfam family: 5.8S ribosomal RNA (bases 193-346)
Source: RNAcentral
CGUAGGGGGCCUGCGGAGGGAUCAUUACACAAAUAUGAAGGCGGGCUGGAAUCUCUCGGGGUUACAGCCUUGCUGAAUUAUUCACCCUUGUCUUUUGCGUACUUCUUGUUUCCUUGGUGGGUUCGCCCACCACUAGGACAAACAUAAACCUUUUGUAAUUGCAAUCAGCGUCAGUAACAAAUUAAUAAUUACAACUUUCAACAACGGAUCUCUUGGUUCUGGCAUCGAUGAAGAACGCAGCGAAAUGCGAUAAGUAGUGUGAAUUGCAGAAUUCAGUGAAUCAUCGAAUCUUUGAACGCACAUUGCGCCCUUUGGUAUUCCAAAGGGCAUGCCUGUUCGAGCGUCAUUUGUACCCUCAAGCUUUGCUUGGUGUUGGGCGUCUUGUCUCUAGCUUUGCUGGAGACUCGCCUUAAAGUAAUUGGCAGCCGGCCUACUGGUUUCGGAGCGCAGCACAAGUCGCACUCUCUAUCAGCAAAGGUCUAGCAUCCAUUAAGCCUUUUUUCAACUUUUGACCUCGGAUCAGGUAG